GUGAAUAAGGUGUGAUCAUCAUCAUCAUCAUCAUCAUCUCAGCCAACCGGCUCCAUCAGACAUGGCAGCGCGCACAUCAGAGCCGCUCUGUCAGCCGUGCGUCUACCAUGAGGCGUUCAAAGGUAAGUCCCAGCUUUGCACUGUCCUUUUGUGGAAAUGUCUUAAAUUACCUUGGAGGAAGGUGUGGCCUGCAGGAACACCCCCCCAACCAUCCCAACUUGGACCUGCAGGAACACACCGACCACUCCCCUCCUGCACCCCCCCAACCAUCCCAACUUGGACCUGCAGGAACACACCGACUCCCCCUCCUGCACCCCAUCCUCCUCCUUCACCCCCCAACCAUCCCAACUUGGACCUGCAGGAACACACCCACCACUCCCCUCCUGCACCCUCCCCCCCAACCAUCCCAACUUGGACCUGCAGGAACACACCCACCACUCCCCUCCUGCACCCCAUCCUCUCCUCCUUCACCCCCCAACCAUCCUAACUUGGACCUGCAGGAACACACCCACCACUCCCCUCCUGCACCCCAUCCUCUCCUCCUUCACCCCCCCAACCAUCCUAACUUGGACCUGCAGGAACACACCCACCACUCCCCUCCUGCCCCCCAUCCUCUCCUCCUUGUUGUUGUGUAAAGUUUGUUAUAUCAUGUAACAUUUGCUUUGCUUGGCCCCUCCGAUGCUUUUCAUUUCGUAGGAUGUUUGUGAAGGGAAAGUGAGGGUAUAAUAGGCCCUGUCAGACAGGCCUAUAUGCUGAUCUGGAUUUCCCUUUGUGGUUAGUGGAGCUACAGGUGAGGAGACCUCUGAUGCCGGUCCAGCUGGGUCCAGAGCAGGUGGGCCUGGAGAUGCUCUGUCUGUGUGAGCAGCUGGACCUCCUCAUCCGGGCACAGAUGCAGCAGUUCCAGGAGCAGUUGGGACACGGCUGCAGCCCGGAGGAAUCGGACACUUUCCAGGCUCAAGGAUCAGAGAUUCUUGACCAGAUGCUGCAGUGCCUUGAACAUCUACCAAAGCCUAUGCCCCAGCUGGAGGACUACCUGGACAUGAUGGGUCUGUCAGCGAUGUUUCCUCGUGUGGAGGUGUUCCUCAUUCAAGGCAGCCCCGUGGAAAUGUUGGAGAGGCCCCCGAUGGAUGAUUACUUCUUCCACAUUGCCAAACUGAACCAGCUCUUGGUGCUGAGUCAACAGCUCGAGGAAGAUAUGAGGCACCUUGGAAGUCACAAAUACAUCGCCCACCAGCUCUCGGUGAUAUAUCAAGUCAUCAGCUCAUUCGGGGGAAUUCAGGUCUUCUCUGAGAUAAAGAAAGAUAUCGAGGCCAACUUCAAACAGAUGAAACAGUCUCUCGCGAGCGACGAGGGCUCCAGGCAUGAGCCUCAGCUGGCUGCUCACUACACCAACUGGAUAUUAGAAAUAACUCAGAGCGUGAUAUCGGUGGUGUUGUCACUACCGGAGGAGCUGACGGACGACCUUCACCAGGCUGUGACCUUCGUGUCCCAUCUCCUGUCCUGACUCACCCCCCGGCGAACGGACACCUCUGACUCUACAAACCCCCCGGUGGUCUGAUGCACCGGGCCUUUCUCCGGGAGUCUCCUGCUUCUAGAUGAACUGAUGUUGUUAUGACUGUGAACAGGUGCUACAUACAUUGAUUCAACUGACUGAUGGUGCGGGGUUGGAAAAGCCUAUACUUCAUUCACAAAUCGUCUAGGUUUUUAUACGUCCCCUCUGAAUGUGGCUCAUAUAAGUCUGUGGUGAGUCAGUUGUUCGGAAAAGGAAUGUAAUCUUGUCGAAUCCCUCCUUGCACUGCUGUUAAUAAUAACUGCUGUUGUAAUUUUUUUAACCUUAAGUGAAAUAAUAAAGUUGAAUGCAAUAGGGAGGCUUUUGCAUGUCCUCGCUGUAGACAUCAUCGCUACACACUUGUACUUUGUCAUGGCAGGAAGAAAAACACCGGUGAAGGACUGCAACUAAAGAUUAUUUUCUUUAAGGGUCAAUCAAAAAGGGUGGCAUAGUGGAACAGUGGUUAGCACUGUCGCCCAGGGGAACCCAGGUACUGAGUUUAAAUCUGAUGGCCGUCUGGGGCCUUACUGUUAUCGUGGGGCCUGCAUGUUCUCCACUUUCUGCACUACAGUUGUUUUAAAUGUGCUUCAUAAAGAACCUUGAUUUGACUUGACAUGCAUUAAGUUCAGGUAAAGGGCUCCCCCUGCUGUUCAAUUCCUGCAACAUGUUGAAUGAGGAAAUGCCAUGACAGCUCCCUUCUGAAAUGAACUGAGUUAAUUAAAAUACAGGGACCGUAUGAAUCAAAUUUUUAAUAUUACGCGA
Molecule: long non-coding RNA, 2311 nt
Organism: Scophthalmus maximus (turbot)
Lineage: Eukaryota; Metazoa; Chordata; Actinopteri; Pleuronectiformes; Scophthalmidae
Source: Ensembl